This 1162-nucleotide ribosomal RNA is filed under the name human gut metagenome. RNAcentral's name for it is "bacterial SSU rRNA". It matches the Rfam family "Bacterial small subunit ribosomal RNA", at positions 334 to 1520 of the family's 1533-position model. The record is from RNAcentral.
GACUCCUACGGGAGGCAGCAGUAGGGAAUUUUCGGCAAUGGACGGAAGUCUGACCGAGCAACGCCGCGUGAAUGAUGAAGUAUUUCGGUAUGUAAAGUUCUUUUAUUUGGGAAGAAAAAACAAAUUGACGGUACCAAAUGAAUAAGCCCCGGCUAACUACGUGCCAGCAGCCGCGGUAAUACGUAGGGGGCAAGCGUUAUCCGGAAUUAUUGGGCGUAAAGGGUGCGUAGGCGGGUUAUCAAGUCUUUGGUUAAAAUGCGGUGCUCAACGCCGUAGUGCCAAAGAAACUGAUAGUCUAGAGUAUGGUAGAAGUGAGUGGAACUCCAUGUGUAGCGGUAAAAUGCGUAAAUAUAUGGAAGAACACCAGUGGCGAAGGCGGCUCACUAGGCCAAUACUGACGCUGAGACACGAAAGCGUGGGGAGCAAACAGGAUUAGAUACCCUGGUAGUCCACGCCCUAAACGAUGAGUACUAAGUGUAGCCAGAAGGCUGUGCUGAAGUUAACGCAUUAAGUACUCCGCCUGAGUAGUACGUACGCAAGUAUGAAACUUAAAGGAAUUGACGGGAUCCCGCACAAGCGGUGGAGCAUGUUGUUUAAUUCGACGAUACGCGAAGAACCUUACCAGGUCUUGACAUACUCGGCAAAUCUAUAGAGAUAUAGAGGAGGUUAACCGGGAUACAGGUGGUGCAUGGUUGUCGUCAGCUCGUGUCGUGAGAUGUUAGGUUAAGUCCUGCAACGAGCGCAACCCUUAUUGCUAGUUACCAUCAUUAAGUUGGGGACUCUAGCGAGACUGCCGGUGAUAAACCGGAGGAAGGCGGGGAUGACGUCAAAUCAUCAUGCCCUUUAUGACCUGGGCUACAAACGUGCUACAAUGGCUGACACAAAGAGAAGCGAGCUCGCGAGAGUAAGCAAACCUCAGAAAAGCAGUCUCAGUUCGGAUUGAAGUCUGCAACUCGACUUCAUGAAGUUGGAAUCGCUAGUAAUCGCGAAGCAGAGUGUCGCGGUGAAUACGUUCCCGGGAUUUGUACACACCGCCCGUCAAACCAUGAGAGUUUGUAAUACCCGAAGCCGGUGGCCGAACCGCAAGGAAGGAGCCGUCUAAGGUAGGACAGAUGAUUGGGGUUAAGUCGUAACAAGGUAUCCCUACGAGAACGUGGGGAUG